Molecule: long non-coding RNA, 1034 nt
Organism: Cyprinus carpio carpio
Lineage: Eukaryota; Metazoa; Chordata; Actinopteri; Cypriniformes; Cyprinidae
Source: Ensembl
CCCGUCACUGAAAUCACAAUGCAUAUAUAUACUCAAACACAGACAGAUAAGAAUAUUAUGACUAAAUCUAUUUACCAGAAUUAUGACUAAAGCAUUAAUUUCCUCUGUAAUGUGAUAUACAUAUGACUAAUAUUAACCAAACAUUUGUUUUUUUUCAACUAAGCACAUAACUUGUAUUAUCUUAUAGCCAUAUAGGCAUUAUUUUGACACACUCAUCUCUGACCGAUGACAGAAUUCUUCCUGAUUGUUACACUGAAACAUGUUUUUUUCUGUGAAACUGCUUUGUAUUGUGAAAAGUGUUAUUUACAUAAACUUGAAUAUGGCAAAUGCCAUGCAUGCUCAUUAAUUUGACAUUUUUAGGCUUGUUUCUAAGACAUUUGAUCACAAAUCACAGCAAGUGACCUUCUUCAGCCAUGGCUCCAAGUGAAAAAUGUUACAUGUAUGCAUGCACUAACAUAAUACAAUGGGUACAAAAUCGAUCACUAACUUUUCAAGCGUAUGAUUUGAGGAUGACGUUAGAUAGCUUUAUUAAAACGCUAUCCGACCUAUUACGGGCUUUUGUUAGGAGACAUAGGCGUCAGUUGAGUCCCAGACAGUGUGUUCGACUCCCCAGAGAGUUCAGGUACUCUCUCAGACACAAUCUGUCUGCUUCUGUCGGGAAGCAACAUCAACGAAAAGGAGUAAUAUGCACCUAAAAUGGCAUGCUGUUGCUUUAAAAGACACAUCUCUAUACGUCCCUGUUAAAUUCGAACGCAAAUUCCUAUUGUAAGGGUUCGAAGAAUGUCUAUUAUGACAUCAUCAGUGGAAUGAAUAAGUAUUCUGCCCCAAUUCCGAUCACACCUGCCACUGAAAACACGCGCAAACGCAUAUCGAUAUUUUGACGUUCCUUUUUGCUAAAGAUGAAGAUACCGUGACGUCACACACAGGCAACCUUCCGGGUUCCUCGGAUUAGAUGCUGCUGCUGAUUCCAUGUCUCAGUCAGUCGUUUGGAUCUACGGAUAAUGUCGGAAAUAACCUCUCGAAUUUAAAAUUAU